GACGAACGCUGGCGGCGUGCUUAACACAUGCAAGUCGAACGGAAAGGCCCUGCUUUUGUGGGGUGCUCGAGUGGCGAACGGGUGAGUAACACGUGAGUAACCUGCCCUUGACUUUGGGAUAACUUCAGGAAACUGGGGCUAAUACCGGAUAGGAGCUCCUGCUGCAUGGUGGGGGUUGGAAAGUUUCGGCGGUUGGGGAUGGACUCGCGGCUUAUCAGCUUGUUGGUGGGGUAGUGGCUUACCAAGGCUUUGACGGGUAGCCGGCCUGGGAGGGUGACCGGCCACAUUGGGACUGAGAUACGGCCCAGACGCCUACGGGAGGCAGCAGUGGGGAAUAUUGCACAAUGGGCGGAAGCCUGAUGCAGCAACGCCGCGUGCGUGAUGACGGCCUUCGGGUUGUAAACCGCUUUCGCCUGUGACGAAGCGUGAGUGACGGUAAUGGGUAAAGAAGCACCGGCUAACUACGUG
Molecule: ribosomal RNA, 468 nt
Filed under: uncultured bacterium
Lineage: Bacteria
Description: partial 16S ribosomal RNA
Rfam family: Bacterial small subunit ribosomal RNA
Source: RNAcentral